UCCGUAGGCGGGCAAUUAAGUCAGUGAUGAAAUCCUGCAGCUUAACUGUAGAACUGUUAUUGAUACUGAUUUUCUUGAAUAUAGUUGAGGUAGGCGGAAUGUGUAAUGUAGCGGUGAAAUGCUUAGAUAUUACACAGAACACCGAUUGCGAAGGCAGCUUACUAAGCUAUUAUUGACGCUGAGGCACGAAAGCGUGGGGAGCGAACAGGAUUAGAUACCCUGGUAGUC
Molecule: ribosomal RNA, 228 nt
Filed under: uncultured bacterium
Lineage: Bacteria
Description: partial 16S ribosomal RNA
Rfam family: Bacterial small subunit ribosomal RNA
Source: RNAcentral